Molecule: long non-coding RNA, 988 nt
Filed under: Micromonas commoda
Lineage: Eukaryota; Viridiplantae; Chlorophyta; Mamiellophyceae; Mamiellales; Mamiellaceae
Description: long non-coding RNA (MCOM_LNC000103)
Source: RNAcentral
AGUCUAAUUGCCCAUACGUACGAAGAUUAAAAUAAACUCACCACCAUGACCAGCACGUGCUUCUCGCCGAUGUUACCCUGGUCGCCGAACGUCGGGGGAGGGACGGACUGGGGCGUGGGGUUAUCCUCCGCCGCGAGCGUGAACGACGAUCCGCCGUGGGUGUUCCGCCUGGACAAACCGAGCGAGUUGGUGUUUGGGGAGGUGGACAUUGGCGCCGACGAUGAGACAUCUGACGGUGAUUGUUGGUUGAUGAGGUGCCCCGACGGUGCGUGAUUCGACAGCUGCGACGGGGACUCCGGCCCGUCGACCGGGUCGUUAUUCGACGGGAAGGAUCCCCUCCUUCCUGGACUCGAUCGCGCGUGCCCCGGGGCCCCAACCCCGGACCCGAGUCGCGCGGCCGCCGCUCGGUCGCGCUCCAACGCCGCCGCGUGCGCCGGGCUCCCGUCCUCGUCCCCAUCCUCCCCGUCCGCCGCCGCGGAUGCGACGACGACGACGCCCGGGCGGACUCGCGGGGCGGAGGACGUGCCGGCGGCCGAUGGAUGCGCGCCCGCGGGACCCACGCGCCCGAUGGGCGCGUCCAACGCGGACGACGGCGCGCCCCCACUCGCGGCGGCCGCGAGCCCGCCCCCCGGGAUCACUCCAUCGUCGCGCCCCGACGCGGCCUCGCGCACGUGGACGUCUCCCUCGCCCGCGGUGCGCACCGUGCUCAGCGCCGAGGUGAGCUCGGACUUGCCCGCGAAAUCGCGCAGGAACUCGUCCAAAUCGCGCAGGUGAUCGUCCAUGGCCACCGCCGAGCGGCGAACCUUGAGGUCGCCCCGCGACGCGGCUGCUAGUGAUUCAGAAUAACACGGAAUAACCAACCGGCUGGCGUGCGUGCCGACGAGGGAGCGAAGACCGUCUGAUGACGCGUCGCGCUUUUUUCGGCCACGUGAGCGUGUGAAAAGCCCUUGCACUCGCCACGUGCAAUAGGGGUUAAAAAAGCGUAUUU